This is a small nucleolar RNA of 94 nucleotides. It matches the Rfam family "Small nucleolar RNA snR60/Z15/Z230/Z193/J17". Rfam says of the family: The members of this family belong to the C/D class of snoRNAs which contain the C (UGAUGA) and D (CUGA) box motifs. Most of the members of the box C/D family function in directing site-specific 2'-O-methylation of substrate RNAs. The record is from Rfam.
GUGCUGGCAAUGAAGAGUAUUUCGUUGCAUAGUUCACUCGGACGCGACGAUUGACGAUGCACUCAAUGUCUUUCGCUCCUAUCUGAGCCUUCAA